CCCUUAGAUGUUCUGGGCUGCACGCGCGCUACACUGAAGGACUCAACGUGCUUGUCUCCUUGGCCGUCAGGUCUGGGUAACCCGUUGAACCUCCUUCGUGCUAGGGAUUGGGGCUUGUAAUUAUUCCCCAUGAACGAGGAAUUCCCAGUAAGCGCGAGUCAUCAUCUCGCGUUGAUUACGUCCCUGCCCUUUGUACACACCGCCCGUCGCUACUACCGAUUGAAUAUUCCGGUGAGAAGAUAGGAGAAAAAUCUUUUGAUUUUUUGAAUAUUUUUGAACCUUGAUAUUUAGAGGAAGGAGAAGUCGUANCA
This 311-nucleotide ribosomal RNA is filed under the name uncultured eukaryote. RNAcentral describes it as "partial 18S ribosomal RNA". It matches the Rfam family "Eukaryotic small subunit ribosomal RNA", at positions 1470 to 1796 of the family's 1831-position model. The record is from RNAcentral.